CAGCCGCCACGGUAAUACGUAGGUGGCAAGCGUUGUCCGGAAUUAUUGGGCGUAAAGGGCUCACAGGCGGUUUCUUAAGUCUGAUGUGAAAGCCCCCGGCUCAACCGGGGAGGGUCAUUGGAAACUGGGAAACUUGAGUGCAGAAAAGGAGAGUGGAAUUCCACGUGUAGCGGUGAAAUGCGUAGAGAUGUGGAGGAACACCAGUGGCGAAGGCGACUCUCUGGUCUGUAACUGACGCUGAGGAGCGAAAGCGUGGGGAGCGAACAGGAUUAGAUACCCCUGUAGUCCCUGUCUCUUAUAC
Molecule: ribosomal RNA, 301 nt
Filed under: uncultured bacterium
Lineage: Bacteria
Description: partial 16S ribosomal RNA
Rfam family: Bacterial small subunit ribosomal RNA
Source: RNAcentral